GGUUAAGCGACUAAGCGUACACGGUGGAUGCCCUGGCAGUCAGAGGCGAUGAAGGACGUGCUAAUCUGCGAUAAGCGUCGGUAAGGUGAUAUGAACCGUUAUAACCGGCGAUUUCCGAAUGGGGAAACCCAGUGUGAUUCGUCACACUAUCAUUAACUGAAUCCAUAGGUUAAUGAGGCGAACCGGGGGAACUGAAACAUCUAAGUACCCCGAGGAAAAGAAAUCAACCGAGAUUCCCCCAGUAGCGGCGAGCGAACGGGGAGCAGCCCAGAGCCUGAAUCAGUGUGUGUGUUAGUGGAAGCGUCUGGAAAGGCGUGCGAUACAGGGUGACAGCCCCGUACACAAAAAUGCACAUGCUGUGAGCUCGAUGAGUAGGGCGGGACACGUGGUAUCCUGUCUGAAUAUGGGGGGACCAUCCUCCAAGGCUAAAUACUCCUGACUGACCGAUAGUGAACCAGUACCGUGAGGGAAAGGCGAAAAGAACCCCGGCGAGGGGAGUGAAAAAGAACCUGAAACCGUGUACGUACAAGCAGUGGGAGCACGCUUAGGCGUGUGACUGCGUACCUUUUGUAUAAUGGGUCAGCGACUUAUAUUCUGUAGCAAGGUUAACCGAAUAGGGGAGCCGAAGGGAAACCGAGUCUUAACUGGGCGUUAAGUUGCAGGGUAUAGACCCGAAACCCGGUGAUCUAGCCAUGGGCAGGUUGAAGGUUGGGUAACACUAACUGGAGGACCGAACCGACUAAUGUUGAAAAAUUAGCGGAUGACUUGUGGCUGGGGGUGAAAGGCCAAUCAAACCGGGAGAUAGCUGGUUCUCCCCGAAAGCUAUUUAGGUAGCGCCUCGUGAAUUCAUCUCCGGGGGUAGAGCACUGUUUCGGCAAGGGGGUCAUCCCGACUUACCAACCCGAUGCAAACUGCGAAUACCGGAGAAUGUUAUCACGGGAGACACACGGCGGGUGCUAACGUCCGUCGUGAAGAGGGAAACAACCCAGACCGCCAGCUAAGGUCCCAAAGUCAUGGUUAAGUGGGAAACGAUGUGGGAAGGCCCAGACAGCCAGGAUGUUGGCUUAGAAGCAGCCAUCAUUUAAAGAAAGCGUAAUAGCUCACUGGUCGAGUCGGCCUGCGCGGAAGAUGUAACGGGGCUAAACCAUGCACCGAAGCUGCGGCAGCGACACUGUGUGUUGUUGGGUAGGGGAGCGUUCUGUAAGCCUGCGAAGGUGUGCUGUGAGGCAUGCUGGAGGUAUCAGAAGUGCGAAUGCUGACAUAAGUAACGAUAAAGCGGGUGAAAAGCCCGCUCGCCGGAAGACCAAGGGUUCCUGUCCAACGUUAAUCGGGGCAGGGUGAGUCGACCCCUAAGGCGAGGCCGAAAGGCGUAGUCGAUGGGAAACAGGUUAAUAUUCCUGUACUUGGUGUUACUGCGAAGGGGGGACGGAGAAGGCUAUGUUGGCCGGGCGACGGUUGUCCCGGUUUAAGCGUGUAGGCUGGUUUUCCAGGCAAAUCCGGAAAAUCAAGGCUGAGGCGUGAUGACGAGGCACUACGGUGCUGAAGCAACAAAUGCCCUGCUUCCAGGAAAAGCCUCUAAGCAUCAGGUAACAUCAAAUCGUACCCCAAACCGACACAGGUGGUCAGGUAGAGAAUACCAAGGCGCUUGAGAGAACUCGGGUGAAGGAACUAGGCAAAAUGGUGCCGUAACUUCGGGAGAAGGCACGCUGAUAUGUAGGUGAAGUCCCUCGCGGAUGGAGCUGAAAUCAGUCGAAGAUACCAGCUGGCUGCAACUGUUUAUUAAAAACACAGCACUGUGCAAACACGAAAGUGGACGUAUACGGUGUGACGCCUGCCCGGUGCCGGAAGGUUAAUUGAUGGGGUCAGCGCAAGCGAAGCUCUUGAUCGAAGCCCCGGUAAACGGCGGCCGUAACUAUAACGGUCCUAAGGUAGCGAAAUUCCUUGUCGGGUAAGUUCCGACCUGCACGAAUGGCGUAAUGAUGGCCAGGCUGUCUCCACCCGAGACUCAGUGAAAUUGAACUCGCUGUGAAGAUGCAGUGUACCCGCGGCAAGACGGAAAGACCCCGUGAACCUUUACUAUAGCUUGACACUGAACAUUGAGCCUUGAUGUGUAGGAUAGGUGGGAGGCUUUGAAGUGUGGACGCCAGUCUGCAUGGAGCCGACCUUGAAAUACCACCCUUUAAUGUUUGAUGUUCUAACGUUGACCCGUGAUCCGGGUUGCGGACAGUGUCUGGUGGGUAGUUUGACUGGGGCGGUCUCCUCCUAAAGAGUAACGGAGGAGCACGAAGGUUGGCUAAUCCUGGUCGGACAUCAGGAGGUUAGUGCAAUGGCAUAAGCCAGCUUGACUGCGAGCGUGACGGCGCGAGCAGGUGCGAAAGCAGGUCAUAGUGAUCCGGUGGUUCUGAAUGGAAGGGCCAUCGCUCAACGGAUAAAAGGUACUCCGGGGAUAACAGGCUGAUACCGCCCAAGAGUUCAUAUCGACGGCGGUGUUUGGCACCUCGAUGUCGGCUCAUCACAUCCUGGGGCUGAAGUAGGUCCCAAGGGUAUGGCUGUUCGCCAUUUAAAGUGGUACGCGAGCUGGGUUUAGAACGUCGUGAGACAGUUCGGUCCCUAUCUGCCGUGGGCGCUGGAGAACUGAGGGGGGCUGCUCCUAGUACGAGAGGACCGGAGUGGACGCAUCACUGGUGUUCGGGUUGUCAUGCCAAUGGCACUGCCCGGUAGCUAAAUGCGGAAGAGAUAAGUGCUGAAAGCAUCUAAGCACGAAACUUGCCCCGAGAUGAGUUCUCCCUGACUCCUUGAGAGUCCUGAAGGAACGUUGAAGACGACGACGUUGAUAGGCCGGGUGUGUAAGCGCAGCGAUGCGUUGAGCUAACCGGUACUAAUGAACCGUGAGGCUUAACCUU
This 2903-nucleotide ribosomal RNA is filed under the name Escherichia coli. RNAcentral's name for it is "23S ribosomal RNA". It matches the Rfam family "Bacterial large subunit ribosomal RNA". Lineage: Bacteria; Pseudomonadati; Pseudomonadota; Gammaproteobacteria; Enterobacterales; Enterobacteriaceae. The record is from RNAcentral. RNAcentral also lists the same sequence under 1 other name.